CCUACGGGCGGCAGCAGUGAGGAAUAUUGGUCAAUGGACGAGAGUCUGAACCAGCCAAGUAGCGUGAAGGAUGACUGCCCUAUGGAUUGUAAACCUCUUUUGUCGGGGAGCAAAAGACGCCACGCGUGGCGUUCCGAGAGUACCCGAAGAAAAAGCAUCGGCUAACUCCGUGCCAGCAGCCGCGGUAAUACGGAGGAUGCGAGCGUUAUCCGGAUUUAUUGGGUUUAAAGGGUGCGCAGGCGGAAGAUCAAGUCAGCGGUGAAAGUCUGUGGCUCAACCAUAGAAUUGCCGUUGAAACUGGGAGGCUUGAGUAUGUUUGAGGCAGGCGGAAUGCGUGGUGUAGCGGUGAAAUGCUUAGAUAUCACGCAGAACCCCGAUUGCGAAGGCAGCCUGCCAAGCCAUGACUGACGCUGAUGCACGAAAGCGUGGGGAUCAAACAGGAUUAGAUACCCUUGUAGUC
RNAcentral lists this ribosomal RNA (460 nucleotides) under uncultured bacterium. RNAcentral describes it as "partial 16S ribosomal RNA". It matches the Rfam family "Bacterial small subunit ribosomal RNA", at positions 338 to 795 of the family's 1533-position model. The record is from RNAcentral.